This 494-nucleotide ribosomal RNA is filed under the name uncultured bacterium. RNAcentral's name for it is "partial 16S ribosomal RNA". It matches the Rfam family "Bacterial small subunit ribosomal RNA", at positions 28 to 507 of the family's 1533-position model. The record is from RNAcentral.
GACGAACGCUGGCGGCGCGCUUAACACAUGCAAGUCGAACGGAAAGGCCUGCUUUCCCUUGUGGAUUGCGGGUACUCGAGUGGCGAACGGGUGAGUAACACGUGAGUGAUCUGCCCCCAACUUGGGUAUAAGCCUGGGAAACUGGGUCUAAUUCCCGAUAGGACUGCAGGGUGGUGCCUGUGGUGGAAAACGAUUUUCUAGUGGUUGGGGAUGAGCUCGUGGCCUUUCAGCUUGUUGGUGGGGUAAUGGCCUACCAAGGCGGCGACGGGUAGCCGGCCUGGGAGGGUGGGCGGCCACGGUGGGACUGAGAUACGGCCCAGACUCCUACGGGAGGCAGCAGUGGGGAGUAUUGCACAAUGGGCGGAAGCCUGAUGCAGCGACGCCGCGUGGGGGAUGACGGCCUUCGGGUUGUAAACUCCUUUCGACCGCGAGGAAGCCACCUGGUUGGAAGGGUGGUGACGGUAGUGGUAGAAGAAGCACCGGCUAACUACGUG